AAACAGGUCAUGAGGACGAUUAUGUGAUAGAGCUGGCAAAUGAAGUGCGGAAAGUACUAGGGAUGUAGGAAGAGGGAUCCAAUGGAGAAGCUGGGUGGAACAGGGCGAAUUACAAUGAAAGCUCAAACCCAUGUCAUAAAUCAGACUCAUAUCUCAGCCCUUCAACUGCGCCCUCUGCCAGAAGCUGUUGCCAUGGACUCAUAGCUGCCGAUAUUGGAUUUCUAGCUAUCUAAGGCCGAUUUGAGCUGAGCAGUAAUUCUGGACCUUACUUUAAUGUUACAGCAGGACAAUUAGUCAUUGUUAGUUGUUUUUUUCACCCUUUUUCAGUCAAUUCUUUUAAUUUUAGCUUUAAUUUUGAGCGCUGAAAACCCUCUUUGAAGUGGAGAGGAAUGACUAACAUAGAAAUUCCAUGUAACCAUGCUGAUGUAAGUUUUAGUUGCAAAACAGUAAUCAAAGCAGAGAGUCCAUUUUCUUCAUUUACAUGUCUGUGUAUGUGCGUUAGUGAAUCAGCGAAUGACUAGAUAUAAAUUUGUCAGAAAUUUGAUGCUACGAUGAUGUUAGUUUGGUCCCUUUUUUAAGGGGGAAGAAGGAAUGAAAGCAAGAGGUUUCAUUUAGUUCAUCUUCCUGCAACUGCAUCGCAUUUCUUUAUCUUUUUUCUGUUUGAAGUGUUUGAUUAUUAUUAUUAUUA
RNAcentral lists this long non-coding RNA (688 nucleotides) under Carica papaya (papaya). RNAcentral describes it as "long non-coding RNA (CPAP_LNC003332)". Lineage: Eukaryota; Viridiplantae; Streptophyta; Magnoliopsida; Brassicales; Caricaceae. The record is from RNAcentral.